GACAUUUCGUAAAUAUAUUAAUGUGACAAAAAUUGUUUUAAAUGCAAAUAUGUAGAGAAUCAUGAGUGAAAUUGGACAUUAUUGUGGGGUCAUUUUUAUAUAUUGAAGGUAUUUAACAUAGGUAGCAAAGAGUUUACAUAAUUACUAAAGGCACUUCAACUGCCUGAAAUAGUCACUUGAGUUCCAAGUAGUUAAAACCAACUUCCCGGGCAUUUCAGGUAAUUUUAAGAAAAUUGCUUGAAAGAAGAUUCAACUGCCUGGAAUAGUCACUUGAGUUUCAAGUAGUGGAAUUCAACUUUUUUGUUAGGUGGGAAAUUUACAAGAUUUCCAUUGGUAGCAAUAUAGUAAGGACCCUACUGUUUCUUCCAGAUAAUAUAGGUGGAAACUGAAAUUAAUUCAAAUAACAAUUGCAAGAAAUUAUCUGCAUGUAUAUAGAACGAAACAAGAAUUUUAAGUCUUUCAAGAAAAUAAGGCAUUCAUUUCAGACAACUCCGGUAAUUAUCUGAAAAAAAAAUUAAUAGAAAUUGAAAUAGGAAUAAAAUAAAGAUAUUAAAGGAACAGAAGGAACUAUAUAUACUACCUGAAAUAAAAGAAUUAUGUAGAAUCAGUUGAAGUCAUAAUUAAUUUAUUCAAAGUAUUUGAAAUUUAAAAAAAAUAAGGAGUUCCUAAAAGAAAGAAAUCAUAAAAAUUGAGAAGGCAUAAGGAAGAAAAAGGAGUAGGGAAGAAAAAAAAAUGUAAAGAAAAUUAAUUAAAGAAAUAAAUAAACAAGGAAAAGUUCAAGUG
Molecule: long non-coding RNA, 783 nt
Organism: Anthonomus grandis grandis
Lineage: Eukaryota; Metazoa; Arthropoda; Insecta; Coleoptera; Curculionidae
Exons: 5
Source: RefSeq, a predicted model, not a curated record